Molecule: non-coding RNA, 73 nt
Organism: Podarcis lilfordi (Lilford's wall lizard)
Lineage: Eukaryota; Metazoa; Chordata; Lepidosauria; Squamata; Lacertidae
Source: the annotation of a GenBank genome assembly
GCUUGGAUACCUCAAUCAGUAGAGCAUGAGACUCUUAAUCUCAGGGUUAUGAGUUUGAGUCUCGCACUAGGCA